AGAGUUUGAUCCUGGCUCAGGAUGAACGCUGGCGGUAUGCUUAACACAUGCAAGUCGAACGGGGGGCUUNGGCCCCUAGUGGCGGACGGGUGAGUAACGCGUGAGAAUCUGCCUUCAGGUCGGGGACAACAGCUGGAAACGGNUGCUAAUACCGGAUGUGCCGAGAGGUGAAAGCUAUAGCGCCUGAAGAUGAGCUCGCGUCUGAUUAGCUAGUUGGUGGGGUAAGAGCCUACCAAGGCGACGAUCAGUAGCUGGUCUGAGAGGAUGAUCAGCCACACUGGGACUGAGACACGGCCCAGACCCCUACGGGAGGCAGCAGUGGGGAAUUUUCCGCAAUGGGCGAAANCCUGACGGAGCAAUACCGCGUGAGGGAGGAAGGCUCUUGGGUUGUAAACCUCUUUUGAUCCAGGAAGAAGGUCUGACGGUACUAU
This 431-nucleotide ribosomal RNA is filed under the name uncultured bacterium. RNAcentral's name for it is "bacterial SSU rRNA". It matches the Rfam family "Bacterial small subunit ribosomal RNA", at positions 8 to 481 of the family's 1533-position model. The record is from RNAcentral.